Molecule: ribosomal RNA, 465 nt
Filed under: uncultured bacterium
Lineage: Bacteria
Description: partial 16S ribosomal RNA
Rfam family: Bacterial small subunit ribosomal RNA
Source: RNAcentral
GACGAACGCUGGCGGCACGCUUAACACAUGCAAGUCGAACGAGAGAAGAGAAGCUUGCUUUUCUGAUCUAGUGGCGGACGGGUGAGUAACACGUGAGCAAUCUGCCUUUCAGAGGGGGAUACCGAUUGGAAACGAUCGUUAAUACCGCAUAACAUAAUUGAACCGCAUGAUUUGAUUAUCAAAGAUUUAUCGCUGAAAGAUGAGCUCGCGUCUGAUUAGCUAGUUGGUAAGGUAACGGCUUACCAAGGCGACGAUCAGUAGCCGGACUGAGAGGUUGAUCGGCCACAUUGGGACUGAGACACGGCCCAGACUCCUACGGGAGGCAGCAGUGGGGAAUAUUGCACAAUGGAGGAAACUCUGAUGCAGCGAUGCCGCGUGAGGGAAGAAGGUUUUAGGAUUGUAAACCUCUGUCUUCAGGGACGAAAAAAGACGGUACCUGAGGAGGAAGCUCCGGCUAACUACAUG